This 303-nucleotide long non-coding RNA is filed under the name Lathyrus oleraceus (garden pea). RNAcentral's name for it is "Pisum sativum (pea) long non-coding RNA (PSAT_LNC031370)". The record is from RNAcentral. Lineage: Eukaryota; Viridiplantae; Streptophyta; Magnoliopsida; Fabales; Fabaceae.
CCGGAUUAACUCAGGUAAGGGGGGUUUAUCAUCGGUUAACGGGUAUUAUAUGAUAAUAUGUCAUGGGUAGUGAUAGACCAUUGUUUUACCUCUGAUUAGAUUGUUGUAUGCUGGAAAUCUGAAUUUUUGGGAUGAACGAAAUUGGGUGAUAAUCGAAAGAAAUUCGUAGGAAUUGUAUGUGAUAAUGUUAGGAGUUGUGAAAUAGAAUAGGGAAUGAUUCGGGUUAGAUGAUAUGAGUGAUUUCUGAGUAAAUGUGGACUGUGGAAGGUUAGAUCGAAUAGAACUCGUAGCAGGAAAAACCAU